Thiobacillus sp. SCN 65-179 is the source of this 59-nucleotide non-coding RNA. NCBI's taxonomy places the organism in Bacteria, Pseudomonadati, Pseudomonadota, Betaproteobacteria, Nitrosomonadales, Thiobacillaceae. The record is from Rfam.
GUCUGACACGGUCCGACGGUGGCCAGUCUGGCCCCGACGUUUGGCCGCGGCGCGAUGAC